UCCAUAGGUUAAUGAGGCGAACCGGGGGAACUGAAACAUCUAAGUACCCCGAGGAAAAGAAAUCAACCGAGAUUCCCCCAGUAGCGGCGAGCGAACGGGGAGGAGCCCAGAGCCUGAAUCAGCAUGUGUGUUAGUGGAAGCGUCUGGAAAGGCGCGCGAUACAGGGUGACAGCCCCGUACACAAAAGCGCAUGUGCUGUGAGCUCGAUGAGUAGGGCGGGACACGUGGUAUCCUGUCUGAAUAUGGGGGGACCAUCCUCCAAGGCUAAAUACUCCUGACUGACCGAUAGUGAACCAGUACCGUGAGGGAAAGGCGAAAAGAACCCCGGCGAGGGGAGUGAAAAAGAACCUGAAACCGUGUAC
This 362-nucleotide ribosomal RNA is filed under the name Salmonella enterica subsp. enterica serovar Typhimurium. Its description in RNAcentral is "partial 23S ribosomal RNA". It matches the Rfam family "Bacterial large subunit ribosomal RNA", at positions 163 to 563 of the family's 2925-position model. Lineage: Bacteria; Pseudomonadati; Pseudomonadota; Gammaproteobacteria; Enterobacterales; Enterobacteriaceae. The record is from RNAcentral.